GAUCUUUAUAUAGUUUUUAUUUAAUAGAAAUUAGUUAAAUUUUAUUUUAAGUUUAAUUUAUAUUAUAUUGGGGUAAUAAUAAAAUUUAUAAAAUUUUUAUUUAUUUUUACAAGAAUGAUUGAUUUUAUGAUCCAGUACUAUUGAUUAGAAAGUUAAGUUACCUUAGGGAUAACAGCAUAAUGAUUUUUGAGAGUUCUUAUUGA
RNAcentral lists this ribosomal RNA (203 nucleotides) under Evandromyia sericea. RNAcentral's name for it is "partial large subunit ribosomal RNA". The record is from RNAcentral. Lineage: Eukaryota; Metazoa; Arthropoda; Insecta; Diptera; Psychodidae.